CAGGCGCCACAGAUGGUGAGGUUGCGGGUUGUCUUCUGCAUAAUGUUGCGAAGUUUCAAAUUUUUUAUUCAAUGAAUUAUUUGAUUGUAGCGAUUGUAGUGAACAUUUGUAAAUAAGUCUUUUUUUGUAAAAGAUUGCUUUUGCUUCUCGAUCGUUCUACCCAUUGGUAUGGUGUGCUUGGGUUUACUACAUCACAUCAUAAUAUAUGGAGCUAGUCAGAUUAUGUUCAAAGUGUGUGUUUCUGUUCAAUGUGCAGGAUAUUAUCUGUGACCACUCACACUGACGAGGAAGAAAAGAACAUGUCCUGACUAGCAACCAAUCGUAGUUUGGCUGGGUAUUCAACCAGGAAAUCGCGAUUGACUUGACUUGAGAACAUCUCCGGAGAACUUUUUUCUCGCUUGUCUUCCAGUGACGACGAUAGACGAAUAGACGACGAUAGUUCAAUUGUUUUCUGGAAUCCAUUGGAACAGGAUUUGACCAAAAAAAUAAACAGAUUCCAUUUGUCCUGGUUGUCCACCCGAUCGUCUGCGGAUGGUGAUUCCCAGUGGCCGUUGUUUCACCUGUUGAAAAUAAGAAUUGCAAUGUGAACGUGUUCCAACUGUUGCAAAUAUUAGCACCCGAUGUACAAACACGAAUGUUGUGAAUUUCGUUUUGGGGUCAAUGGAGUUGGCGCAGGUUGCCGUUACUGGCCUUUUGCGAUGUCCUGAUAUCAGUUUGGAAGAAGAGCUCUGGGGAAUCGUCACUCAUACUCGAGUCGUAUGUAAGGGCAAAGAAAAGGCGAAAGAAAUCAGAGUGAAUAUCUCCGAUAUACAAGAGCUAAAGUGCACCAUGUGUCACCAACUGCAUUCUUCGUCGCGCUACCAGUUUCAAUCAUGGCUGGGUCGACCACUGGUGUACCGAUGACUCUUGGGUGUGGCGGAUACCAAAGCACUACACUGCCGCAUUACUACACAACAUACAACACAACCAGUUGCUACACCAAUGCCUUAAAUACUACAUCACCAAGGAACCAGAGUGUUACACAACUACAAAUGCCGCGCCAGCUUAUUACACCGAGGCUCCCUAACACAACACCACCAAGGCAUCGGAGUACUACACCACUACAUAUCAUGGUCGUAUGAAAGGAGAGAAAAGGUGAAAGAAUUCAGCAGCCGAGUGAGCAUCUCCGUUACGGUAUAGGAACUGCCGUGCACUAUUUGUCAACAAGUUCAUUCUUCGUCGCAUUCCAAGUUUUAAAUAAAGUAAACUAUGGCGUCGUGUUGCUGUUGGGUGUUGUAUCGUUGAUGGUUGGUUCGGCCAUGGUGUACCGAUAUCUCCAAAGUAUGGGGUGUACCAACAACAACAUACGCAAAAACCGGUUACUACACUGAGACCUGCAAGUGCCACACCACCGAGGAUAACUUGUUACCCCACCGAAGCGCCCAAGUUCUGCACUACAACCUACGUCGCCCCAGCUUACACCACGAAGGCAGCGGAGUACUACACCACGAAGGCAGCGGAGUACUACACCACGAAGGCAGCGGAGUACUACACCACGAAGGCAGCGGAGUACUACACCACGAAGGCAGCGGAGUACUACACCACGAAGGCAGCGGAGUACUUACUACACCACGAAGGUAGCGGAGUACUUACUACACCACGAAGGCAGCGGAGUACUACACCACGAAGGCAGCGGAGUACUACACCACGAAGGCAGCGGAGUACUACACCACGAAGGCAGCGGAGUACUACACCACGAAGGCAGCGGAGUACUACACCACGAAGGCAGCGGAGUACUACACCACGAAGUCACCGUCACGAUACACCAUGGCUCCAGUUUACUUCACUACAACCCACGCUGCUCCAGAGUACUGCACUGAUGUUCCAAAGUACUACACCACCAAAGUCAUCCGAGUAUUACAUCACUACUUUCGUUAGUACCAAAUCCUACACCGAAGCUCCCAAAGCACUUCUUUGCCCCGAGUUACUACACCACUAACGCAGCCGAAUAACACCCCAAACUACGAUUCCGCAAUUUUCUGCAAGGAAAUUCCUUAUUAUUAGAGCCGAAAUUUCUACUCGGGGUUAUUUAUAUGUAUCGGUUAUUUUCAUGGUAAUUGGUCGCUGGGAAUCAAUUGUUGAUCUUAAAUGAGAAAAUAAAAGUUUUAAUACGGGUAA
Molecule: long non-coding RNA, 2157 nt
Organism: Daphnia pulex (common water flea)
Lineage: Eukaryota; Metazoa; Arthropoda; Branchiopoda; Diplostraca; Daphniidae
Exons: 11
Source: RefSeq, a predicted model, not a curated record